GUCCCAUGGACAGAGGAGCCUGGUAGGCUGCAGUCCACGGGAUCGCGAAGAGUCGGACACGACUGAAGCGACUUAGCAGUAGCAGCAGCAGAUGGCUGAAAAUCAGAGCAUGUUGUGCUGGAGAUCACGGAGUUUGAACAAAAAUGAAUAAUGAACAUCUUUACGUGGAGUUCUCCCGAACCAAUUCCAAG
Molecule: long non-coding RNA, 191 nt
Organism: Dama dama (fallow deer)
Lineage: Eukaryota; Metazoa; Chordata; Mammalia; Artiodactyla; Cervidae
Exons: 3
Source: RefSeq, a predicted model, not a curated record